RNAcentral lists this ribosomal RNA (303 nucleotides) under uncultured bacterium. RNAcentral describes it as "partial 16S ribosomal RNA". It matches the Rfam family "Bacterial small subunit ribosomal RNA", at positions 507 to 807 of the family's 1533-position model. The record is from RNAcentral.
AGCAGUAGCCGCGGUAAUACGUAGGGAGCAAGCGUUGUUCGGAUUUACUGGGCGUAAAGGGCGCGUAGGCGGCGCGGUAAGUCACUUGUGAAAUCUCUGAGCUUAACUCAGAACGGCCAGGUGAUACUGCUGUGCUAGAGUGCGGAAGAGGCAACCGGAAUUCUUGGUGUAGCGGUGAAAUGCGUAGAUAUCAAGAGGAACACCUGAGGCGAAGGCGGGUUGCUGGGCCGACACUGACGCUGAUGCGCGAAAGCCAGGGGAGCAGACGGGAUUAGAUACCCCCGUAGUCCCUGUCUCUUAUAC